UGCACAGGAGAAGAAGGAAAACGGAAAACUGACAGGAGCCUUAUCUCCUCGCUCGCACCCAUUUCCUCUCCUGCCCAGGUCCGCCGUCGCCACACACCCAUCUCCUCCCCUGCUCCCGGCCGGCGCCGUCCCGCCCCCAUCUCCUCCCGAGCUUCUGCCGUGCCGCGACGGCUGAUCCGGUGCACAACCGCCGUCAGCCACCUGUCGCACGACCGCCGCGUCCAUGCCCACCGCCGCUGCUCUCUAUCCCCAACCUCCCACCAUCUCCUCGACUCCACAAGUCAUCGUCGGGCCAACCCCGCGCGUCGUGUGCCUCCGCCACCCCAUCCGCCACCUCUGACCACCGCCGCCGCUCAUCAAAUGGACGAUCCACCGUCGCCGCCUACUACAUCGACAGGUGAGCUUAUGGUUCCUGAUCAUGGUGCCAUAAUUGCGCUCAUCCUCUAUGGGGUCCAUCAGAACUGAACUACAUAUCAUGAAAGGGCCUCAAGACCUUCCGAAAGCUGCACAAACAUGGUGUCAUCGAUCUUGGGGCUGACCAUUCAGAUGGCGGAGAGCCUCAUUAACACGGGCUUCUCCAACCGCCGGAUGGCCAUCCCCCAGCAUUCCUUCAUGCUCGUUGUAGUCACCCGCUCCGAGUCGCUCAACCUUAGGGCGGCCAUCGGCGCCACCAAGCUCGCCAACACGCUCGUCUCGCUAGACGGCGCCAUGGUGAUCACCUUCUACAUAGGUGUGGUCUUCAGCUUCAUCCAGGUCACCGUGCAGCGCAACCUCGCCGGCUAGACCAUCUCCAGCAAGUUCCAGAUCAUCACUUUCAUGUACUCCGUAAGAAACCAACCAACCAUCAUGCUUUUGAAUUGCUUGCUACAUUAUGCACAACAUGGCUUGCCGCUGAUCGACUUUGAUUGAUUUUACCUGAAUUCGGGUUGUGGUCGCGUCUGGCAUGUCCUUUGUGAUGAUGCAUUCCUUCGUGAUGCUGACAUGGUGCAUCGACCCAUGACCUAGCCUCUUCAGUGGGAAAUUCUGACCACGCUAACCAGAUAGUUCGGGUGCAGCGACCUAGAAAACCGGGGAGAGCACGCAACCUCGUGUGCGGGGAGGAGAAAAUCGGAUCGAAGGAGGGGGUUCGUUCGGGAGAUCCUUUAGAUCGGCGGCGUUAGGGUUCAUGGAUGGUCUCGGCGAGGCGGCGGCAACGACCCCUUCAGACAGCUCUCUACGCAGGUGACAACUGCAAGAAGGUGCAUGUUGUGCUGAUUUGGUGGUUGGCAGCUGACAGUUUUGGUUUCCUCCUCCGAUGUCGUAGUUGUGCUGGGGUGCCAAUUCUGGAGUUAGAUUGCAUGUCCGCGGACACAUUGCGCCAGUCUGUUUCUUUCAACGGCUAUGAUUUUGCUUUAGGCAAACUACAUUGAAGGUUCGUAAAGCUGCAGAACUGCGAUGAAGUCGCGUCGAGCUCGGGUGAAAAGGUGAUUUGUCUUCUUUGCCUUGAAAGAGAGGGGCAUACGCUGGUUUUUUGUAUAGGAUUAUUCUAUCUUUUCAGUCAUGUAAUGCCGUUGUUUACAUGGCUUAUAACUGAAUCUUUAUUUUAUUAAUGAGACACCUAUUACCACAAAGAAAAAAGACUAGACUCGUCUUUGCCAAAAAAAGGACUAGGCUCGUCUUUUGAUAAACGACUAUUUUUUAGCAAAACUAAUACCAAAUUUAAGAACCAAAAAUCAUGUUUGUAGAAGAUUUAACAACACCCGAUCCCCAAUUUUUGACAGGUUUUUUUCUAUUUUUAAUGGGUAAAAGACUUGCCGCAUUUAUUAAUUAAGAAAGGGUUUAGAACAAGUUUGGUCACCCUAGGGCAAGAAGCCGGUAAAAAAACCCUUACUCUCCCGACAUGAAAUUAGGCCAACUCCAAUGCGGCGACCCAUUUGGUCCGGCCGCGUCCGUUUGGAUCCGCGCAGAUAGAAAACGUGGGCCAAUGCACUGACGAAAAUGGGCAGGUGUCCGUUUUUCUGUCCGCUGUGACCCAUGUUCGGUCCAAAGUUGGGCUGAGUUUGCGGCAUCGCAGACACAAUGCCGACGUGUGCGACGCCCGUCCUUGUCCUCUCCCUAGUCCACCCAUUGGUGGCACAUCGGUCAUUCUUCCUUUCCCUCCUUCACGCUCGACACCCCCGCCCUCGUCGCCGCCACCCAUUUUUUGGUCGGUUCGACAGUACUCAGGCCGCCGCCGCAUCCAACCACUUCCCAACGGCCACGCCGCAUCCACUGGGGCCCACCCCUUGCCGGCAUCUAUGGUCGCCCUUCCCAGCGUCGAAGCAUGAUACGUCUCCAACGUA
Triticum urartu is the source of this 2321-nucleotide non-coding RNA. NCBI's taxonomy places the organism in Eukaryota, Viridiplantae, Streptophyta, Magnoliopsida, Poales, Poaceae. The record is from RefSeq and is a predicted model, not a curated record.